Molecule: non-coding RNA, 2583 nt
Organism: Pelodiscus sinensis (Chinese soft-shelled turtle)
Lineage: Eukaryota; Metazoa; Chordata; Testudines; Trionychidae
Source: RefSeq, a predicted model, not a curated record
UGGAAAGCAAUGAGACAGCUUUAAUGUGGUUAGGGCAACAUUGUUACACAUGUCCAAUACUACAUAGGGUAAUUAUUCUCAACAUAGCAGGGCCAAAAUUAUGCCCUGAGUUUCACCAUAAGUAACAAUGAGGGGUCUCUACUGAGGGCAGAGUUUAGUCCAUGAGAAACACGCUCAUGUUUUAAUUCUUAUAGUAGCUUAUUGUAGCUUGCAAACGCUGUUCUAAGCUGAAAAUACCCAACCACAUAAAGGAAUUGGCAUCCAACAAGCUAGAUUCUUGGCAUAGCUCCAGUGACUUCAAAGGUGCAAAAUCAAUUUGAAGCAGCAGCAGAAAAUUGGGCCCUUCUCCCGCCAAAAAAAAAAUUAAAGGGACAGAGUCUCUUUUGGGGUGCCAUUUACAUUUGCUUUGCACGCGAGUCAAAGGCGAGUAAAUUAGAAGAGUAACAUGCUCCACCCACUUUGCUUGGAUUUCAAACGACCCCACAAGCAACGGAGAAACAAAUCCAUAUCCUUCCAAAUGCCAUGUUUCUAAAGCAAUGUGUCUCUUACGCUGUACUCAACGGUGGAAAGUGAUUUCUCUGUAUUAAAUACUGAAAUUGGGACCCACUCCCAGUUUAAAUUGCUACAUUUUGACCAACUCAGAAGCCGGCAAGAAGGCAGAGCAUGAAGAAUCAAAGCAACAAGCAAAUCAGCAGGUAUGUUAGCUGUAAGCUUUGUACUGCAGCCAUUAAUUUCAACCUCUCUCUGCAGGUUCAUUGAACUUUUCCAAAUGUGACCCCUUUCUGGCAUGCCAACCCUAAGCAACUUCACUUUGAUUUCAGAUUAGUCUCCUCCAAAACAUUUAGGACUCCAAAGAGUUCUGGGCCCACGACAAGAAUUUAAUAUGACAGUUUCUGCUAGAACAAACCUCUUACUCAGCAUGAUGCACUUAGCGAUUCAAUUUCAAUUUCUUCAUUGCAUGUUAUGCAAGUCAUUGCUCGUUAUAUCAUAAACAUACUGGUUUAAUCCUCCAGUACAAGCACAGUAACUGGUCUCCUGUUUUUGUUUUAGAACGGAACGAAUGCAAGAUGGAGAUAAAUACGAUCAAGUUUGGUGCAUGGAUGACCUGUGAUACAUGUGAUGGCCUCUUCUGGAUUUAAACUUGAUGUCUCUAGGCAAGUUUCAUGCACAUCUACAUGCACACAGCUACCAUUUGACUUCACAGGCUAUGAGUCUACAUAGAUUUAACUAAUUUUGCUAAUCCUUCAAUGCCAUUGUCUGGUACCCCAACCAUUUUUCUGUUCACCCUUUCUAGGACACACUUGAAAAAGCGAGCUGUGCAUAAACACCUUUUGAGCUAAACUGUAUUUGCUUUCAUGGGCAUGUGAACUGUAAACUCUUUUAAAUGUAAAGAAACAACAGUAGCAUGAAGAAUCAAAGUCAACUAAGACUCCGAGGAUUGAAAAUCCCUUCACCGAGAGCAUGCAUUGUGAUGUCUUUUCAAUUCUCUUCUGGUUAUUUCCAGUUUUACUGGGGGCGCAGUUUUAAAACUUCAAGAAUUAAGAAGAUUAUUUUAUUAUUACCAAGUAUGCGUGAAUUGCAUCAGCUUUUUCCUCCCUGCAUCACAUUUGGAAGAUCGGAUACCGCCUUCUUCAUUCGGGCUCUGAGCAAGUUGAAAGUCUGCAGCAGAGUGCAAGAUUUCUGACUGGCUUAGUGGCGGAAACGAACGGAAUGCUCAUCCACAAAGACCGUUUUGGUUAUAAAAAAGAUUUGCACAAGUGAUAAUCGGUUAGGACCAGCUUUUGAACCUGAGUCUUUGUGGGAGAUCCCAGGAUGACAGCUGACCAGUGUUCCCUCUAAGCUGUGGGGCAGCACAGCUUCAUAGGUGAUUAAUCAGCCCCACCCGGUCAGGCAACGCCAUGGGCCAAGCCUUGAGCCUCUGACUGGGCGGGGCUGAUUAAUCACCUGUGAAGCUGUGCGGCUUGCACAGCUUAGAAGGGACACUGGAGCUGACCCCUACAAGCAUGCUUUAUACUGUCUGUAUAUCUAAAAUUGACAACUGGAUUUAUCUACAAAGCCAAACUGCUAACCACCACCACAAAUAUGAAUAACAAGACUAUAUAGAGUACUGUUGAGGCCAUUUUUAUAGACACUGUGCAGCGGCUUUACAAUUUGGGAAGUAUUCAUUGUAAUGAAUGCAAGCUGCCACAGAAGGCAUUCAUAAAGAUAACUCUAAUCAGUUACCUGGAGAACAGAGGGAAACAACCAGCUAAAAACAGUUUUAUCUGAUUUUGUAAUAUGCAACUUUUCAGAAGCAAUUAAAAACCAGUUCCUGAUGGUUUACAUUUCCACAUUUUUUUAGGAUUAUAUUAAAAGUCAAUGCGCAUUCAUCCCAUCCAAACAGCUUAGUUGAAACACAGGCUAGAUGAAACAAAAAGAGAAAAAUUAAAGUGAUUGUUUUGCCUUCAUAUGAUGUGGUGUCAUUGUACAUUAGACUACUGAAAUUCAGAGGGCCUCCUUUAAUAUAUGGAGAUUAACCUAUCUCAGAGAGCUGGAAAAGACCUUGAGAGGUCAUUGAGUCCAGUCCCCUGCCCUCCCAGCAGG